GCCUACGGGGCGCAGCAGUGGGGAAUAUUGCACAAUGGGGGAAACCCUGAUGCAGCGACGCCGCGUGAGUGAGGAAGUAUUUCGGUAUGUAAAGCUCUAUCAGCAGGGAAGAAAUACUGACCUUACGGUCAGCAGACGGUACCUGACUAAGAAGCCCCGGCUAACUACGUGCCAGCAGCCGCGGUAAUACGUAGGGGGCAAGCGUUAUCCGGAUUUACUGGGUGUAAAGGGAGCGUAGACGGCGCGGCAAGUCUGAAGUGAAAGGCAGGGGCUUAACCCCUGAACUGCUUUGGAAACUGCCAUGC
RNAcentral lists this ribosomal RNA (305 nucleotides) under uncultured bacterium. RNAcentral's name for it is "bacterial SSU rRNA". It matches the Rfam family "Bacterial small subunit ribosomal RNA", at positions 337 to 641 of the family's 1533-position model. The record is from RNAcentral.